GACGAACGCUGGCGGCGUGCCUAACACAUGCAAGUGGAGCGACGAACCGGGGCUUGCCCCGGGGCCUAGCCGCGAACGGGUGAGUAACACGUGGGUGACCUUCCCCCAUGACUGGGACAACCCGUCGAAAGACGGGCUCAUACCCGAUGUACCCCUUGGUGGAACGGAAUCUUCGGCCUCCACAUCCGGCUGGUCCCGCUGCGCAUUAGCUUGUUGGUGGGGUAAUGGCUUACCAAGGCGACGAUGCGUAGCUUGUCUGAGAGGACGAUCAGCCACACUGGGACUGAGACAGGGCCCAGACUCCUAAGGGAGGCAGCAGUGGGGAAUGUUGAACAAUGCGCGAAAGCGUGAUGCAGCAACGCCGCGUGCGAGAAGAAGGCCUUAGGGUUGUAAACCGCUUUCAGUUGGGACGAGGCGUCGAUGGUGAAUAGCGGGCGGGAGUGACGGUACCGGCAGAAGAAGCGCCGGCUAACUACGUG
This 479-nucleotide ribosomal RNA is filed under the name uncultured bacterium. Its description in RNAcentral is "partial 16S ribosomal RNA". It matches the Rfam family "Bacterial small subunit ribosomal RNA", at positions 28 to 507 of the family's 1533-position model. The record is from RNAcentral.